RNAcentral lists this ribosomal RNA (1510 nucleotides) under Helicobacter pylori. Its description in RNAcentral is "bacterial SSU rRNA". It matches the Rfam family "Bacterial small subunit ribosomal RNA". Lineage: Bacteria; Pseudomonadati; Campylobacterota; Epsilonproteobacteria; Campylobacterales; Helicobacteraceae. The record is from RNAcentral.
UUUUAUGGAGAGUUUGAUCCUGGCUCAGAGUGAACGCUGGCGGCGUGCCUAAUACAUGCAAGUCGAACGAUGAAGCUUCUAGCUUGCUAGAAUGCUGAUUAGUGGCGCACGGGUGAGUAACGCAUAGGUCAUGCGCCUCUUAGUUUGGGAUAGCCAUUGGAAACGAUGAUUAAUACCAGAUACUCCCUACGGGGGAAAGAUUUAUCGCUAAGAGAUCAGCCUAUGUCCUAUCAGCUUGUUGGUAAGGUAAUGGCUUACCAAGGCUAUGACGGGUAUCCGGCCUGAGAGGGUGAACGGACACACUGGAACUGAGACACGGUCCAGACUCCUACGGGAGGCAGCAGUAGGGAAUAUUGCUCAAUGGGGGAAACCCUGAAGCAGCAACGCCGCGUGGAGGAUGAAGGUUUUAGGAUUGUAAACUCCUUUUGUUAGAGAAGAUAAUGACGGUAUCUAACGAAUAAGCACCGGCUAACUCCGUGCCAGCAGCCGCGGUAAUACGGAGGGUGCAAGCGUUACUCGGAAUCACUGGGCGUAAAGAGCGCGUAGGCGGGAUAGUCAGUCAGGUGUGAAAUCCUAUGGCUUAACCAUAGAACUGCAUUUGAAACUACUAUUCUAGAGUGUGGGAGAGGUAGGUGGAAUUCUUGGUGUAGGGGUAAAAUCCGUAGAGAUCAAGAGGAAUACUCAUUGCGAAGGCGACCUGCUGGAACAUUACUGACGCUGAUUGCGCGAAAGCGUGGGGAGCAAACAGGAUUAGAUACCCUGGUAGUCCACGCCCUAAACGAUGGAUGCUAGUUGUUGGAGGGCUUAGUCUCUCCAGUAAUGCAGCUAACGCAUUAAGCAUCCCGCCUGGGGAGUACGGUCGCAAGAUUAAAACUCAAAGGAAUAGACGGGGACCCGCACAAGCGGUGGAGCAUGUGGUUUAAUUCGAAGAUACACGAAGAACCUUACCUAGGCUUGACAUUGAGAGAAUCCGCUAGAAAUAGUGGAGUGUCUAGCUUGCUAGACCUUGAAAACAGGUGCUGCACGGCUGUCGUCAGCUCGUGUCGUGAGAUGUUGGGUUAAGUCCCGCAACGAGCGCAACCCCCUUUCUUAGUUGCUAACAGGUUAUGCUGAGAACUCUAAGGAUACUGCCUCCGUAAGGAGGAGGAAGGUGGGGACGACGUCAAGUCAUCAUGGCCCUUACGCCUAGGGCUACACACGUGCUACAAUGGGGUGCACAAAGAGAAGCAAUACUGCGAAGUGGAGCCAAUCUUCAAAACACCUCUCAGUUCGGAUUGUAGGCUGCAACUCGCCUGCAUGAAGCUGGAAUCGCUAGUAAUCGCAAAUCAGCCAUGUUGCGGUGAAUACGUUCCCGGGUCUUGUACUCACCGCCCGUCACACCAUGGGAGUUGUGUUUGCCUUAAGUCAGGAUGCUAAAUUAGCUACUGCCCACGGCACACACAGCGACUGGGGUGAAGUCGUAACAAGGUAACCGUAGGUGAACCUGCGGUUGGAUCACCUCCUUUCUAGA